UAAGCGACUAAGCGUACACGGUGGAUGCCCUGGCAGUCAGAGGCGAUGAAGGACGUGCUAAUCUGCGAUAAGCGUCGGUAAGGUGAUAUGAACCGUUAUAACCGGCGAUUUCCGAAUGGGGAAACCCAGUGUGAUUCGUCACACUAUCAUUAACUGAAUCCAUAGGUUAAUGAGGCGAACCGGGGGAACUGAAACAUCUAAGUACCCCGAGGAAAAGAAAUCAACCGAGAUUCCCCCAGUAGCGGCGAGCGAACGGGGAGCAGCCCAGAGCCUGAAUCAGUGUGUGUGUUAGUGGAAGCGUCUGGAAAGGCGCGCGAUACAGGGUGACAGCCCCGUACACAAAAAUGCACAUGCUGUGAGCUCGAUGAGUAGGGCGGGGACACGCGGGUAUCCCUGUCUGAAUAUGGGGGGACCAUCCUCCAAGGCUAAAUACUCCUGACUGACCGAUAGUGAACCAGUACCGUGAGGGAAAGGCGAAAAGAACCCCGGCGAGGGGAGUGAAAAAGAACCUGAAACCGUGUACGUACAAGCAGUGGGAGCACAGAGCAAUCUGUGUGACUGCGUACCUUUUGUAUAAUGGGUCAGCGACUUAUAUUCUGUAGCAAGGUUAACCGAAUAGGGGAGCCGAAGGGAAACCGAGUCUUAACUGGGCGUUAAGUUGCAGGGUAUAGACCCGAAACCCGGUGAUCUAGCCAUGGGCAGGUUGAAGGUUGGGUAACACUAACUGGAGGACCGAACCGACUAAUGUUGAAAAAUUAGCGGAUGACUUGUGGCUGGGGGUGAAAGGCCAAUCAAACCGGGAGAUAGCUGGUUCUCCCCGAAAGCUAUUUAGGUAGCGCCUCGUGAAUUCAUCUCCGGGGGUAGAGCACUGUUUCGGCAAGGGGGUCAUCCCGACUUACCAACCCGAUGCAAACUGCGAAUACCGGAGAAUGUUAUCACGGGAGACACACGGCGGGUGCUAACGUCCGUCGUGAAGAGGGAAACAACCCAGACCGCCAGCUAAGGUCCCAAAGUCAUGGUUAAGUGGGAAACGAUGUGGGAAGGCCCAGACAGCCAGGAUGUUGGCUUAGAAGCAGCCAUCAUUUAAAGAAAGCGUAAUAGCUCACUGGUCGAGUCGGCCUGCGCGGAAGAUGUAACGGGGCUAAACCAUGCACCGAAGCUGCGGCAGCGACGCUGAUGCGUUGUUGGGUAGGGGAGCGUUCUGUAAGCCUGCGAAGGUGUGCUGUGAGGCAUGCUGGAGGUAUCAGAAGUGCGAAUGCUGACAUAAGUAACGAUAAAGCGGGUGAAAAGCCCGCUCGCCGGAAGACCAAGGGUUCCUGUCCAACGUUAAUCGGGGCAGGGUGAGUCGACCCCUAAGGCGAGGCCGAAAGGCGUAGUCGAUGGGAAACAGGUUAAUAUUCCUGUACUUGGUGUUACUGCGAAGGGGGGACGGAGAAGGCUAUGUUGGCCGGGCGACGGUGGUCCCGGUUUAAGCGUGUAGGCUGGUUUUCCAGGCAAAUCCGGAAAAUCAAGGCUGAGGCGUGAUGACGAGGCACUACGGUGCUGAAGCAACAAAUGCCCUGCUUCCAGGAAAAGCCUCUAAGCAUCAGGUAACAUCAAAUCGUACCCCAAACCGACACAGGUGGUCAGGUAGAGAAUACCAAGGCGCUUGAGAGAACUCGGGUGAAGGAACUAGGCAAAAUGGUGCCGUAACUUCGGGAGAAGGCACGCUGAUAUGUAGGUGAAGUCCCUCGCGGAUGGAGCUGAAAUCAGUCGAAGAUACCAGCUGGCUGCAACUGUUUAUUAAAAACACAGCACUGUGCAAACACGAAAGUGGACGUAUACGGUGUGACGCCUGCCCGGUGCCGGAAGGUUAAUUGAUGGGGUCAGCGCAAGCGAAGCUCUUGAUCGAAGCCCCGGUAAACGGCGGCCGUAACUAUAACGGUCCUAAGGUAGCGAAAUUCCUUGUCGGGUAAGUUCCGACCUGCACGAAUGGCGUAAUGAUGGCCAGGCUGUCUCCACCCGAGACUCAGUGAAAUUGAACUCGCUGUGAAGAUGCAGUGUACCCGCGGCAAGACGGAAAGACCCCGUGAACCUUUACUAUAGCUUGACACUGAACAUUGAGCCUUGAUGUGUAGGAUAGGUGGGAGGCUUUGAAGUGUGGACGCCAGUCUGCAUGGAGCCGGCCUUGAAAUACCACCCUUUAAUGUUUGAUGUUCUAACGUUGACCCGUAAUCCGGGUUGCGGACAGUGUCUGGUGGGUAGUUUGACUGGGGCGGUCUCCUCCUAAAGAGUAACGGAGGAGCACGAAGGUUGGCUAAUCCUGGUCGGACAUCAGGAGGUUAGUGCAAUGGCAUAAGCCAGCUUGACUGCGAGCGUGACGGCGCGAGCAGGUGCGAAAGCAGGUCAUAGUGAUCCGGUGGUUCUGAAUGGAAGGGCCAUCGCUCAACGGAUAAAAGGUACUCCGGGGAUAACAGGCUGAUACCGCCCAAGAGUUCAUAUCGACGGCGGUGUUUGGCACCUCGAUGUCGGCUCAUCACAUCCUGGGGCUGAAGUAGGUCCCAAGGGUAUGGCUGUUCGCCAUUUAAAGUGGUACGCGAGCUGGGUUUAGAACGUCGUGAGACAGUUCGGUCCCUAUCUGCCGUGGGCGCUGGAGAACUGAGGGGGGCUGCUCCUAGUACGAGAGGACCGGAGUGGACGCAUCACUGGUGUUCGGGUUGUCAUGCCAAUGGCACUGCCCGGUAGCUAAAUGCGGAAGAGAUAAGUGCUGAAAGCAUCUAAGCACGAAACUUGCCCCGAGAUGAGUUCUCCCUGACUCCUUGAGAGUCCUGAAGGAACGUUGAAGACGACGACGUUGAUAGGCCGGGUGUGUAAGCGCAGCGAUGCGUUGAGCUAACCGGUACUAAUGAACCGUGAGGCUUAACCU
RNAcentral lists this ribosomal RNA (2905 nucleotides) under Escherichia coli DEC12D. Its description in RNAcentral is "bacterial LSU rRNA". It matches the Rfam family "Bacterial large subunit ribosomal RNA". Lineage: Bacteria; Pseudomonadati; Pseudomonadota; Gammaproteobacteria; Enterobacterales; Enterobacteriaceae. The record is from RNAcentral.